Molecule: ribosomal RNA, 200 nt
Filed under: uncultured bacterium
Lineage: Bacteria
Description: partial 16S ribosomal RNA
Rfam family: Bacterial small subunit ribosomal RNA
Source: RNAcentral
CAGGCUGCAACUCGCCUGCAUGAAGCUGGAAUUGCUAGUAAUCGCGGAUCAGCAAGCCGCGGUGAAUACGUUCCCGGGCCUUGUACACACCGCCCGUCACACCAUGAGAGUCGGGAACACCCGAAGUCCGUAGUCUAACCGCAAGGGGGGCGCGGCCGAAGGUGGGUCCGGUAAUUGGGGUGAAGUCGUAACAAGGUAAC